RNAcentral lists this ribosomal RNA (429 nucleotides) under Pseudomonadota bacterium. Its description in RNAcentral is "Proteobacteria bacterium partial 16S ribosomal RNA". It matches the Rfam family "Bacterial small subunit ribosomal RNA", at positions 355 to 776 of the family's 1533-position model. The record is from RNAcentral. Lineage: Bacteria; Pseudomonadati; Pseudomonadota.
UGGGGAAUAUUGGACAAUGGGCGAAAGCCUGAUCCAGCCAUGCCGCGUGUGUGAAGAAGGUCUUCGGAUUGUAAAGCACUUUAAGUUGGGAGGAAGGGCAGUAAGCGAAUACCUUGCUGUUUUGACGUUACCGACAGAAUAAGCACCGGCUAACUCUGUGCCAGCAGCCGCGGUAAUACAGAGGGUGCAAGCGUUAAUCGGAAUUACUGGGCGUAAAGCGCGCGUAGGUGGUUCGUUAAGUUGAAUGUGAAAGCCCCGGGCUCAACCUGGGAACUGCAUCCGAAACUGGCGAGGUAGGGUAGGGCAGAGGGUGGUGGAAUUUCCUGUGUAGCGGUGAAAUGCGUAGAUAUAGGAAGGAACACCAGUGGCGAAGGCGACCACCUGGGCUCAUACUGACACUGAGGUGCGAAAGCGUGGGGAGCAAACAGG